Molecule: ribosomal RNA, 389 nt
Filed under: uncultured bacterium
Lineage: Bacteria
Description: bacterial SSU rRNA
Rfam family: Bacterial small subunit ribosomal RNA
Source: RNAcentral
AUUGAACGCUGGCGGCAUGCCUUACACAUGCAAGUCGAACGGCAGCACGGGGCAACCUGGUGGCGAGUGGCGAACGGGUGAGUAAUGCAUCGGAACGUGCCAUUGAGGUGGGGGAUAACGUAGCGAAAGUUGCGCUAAUACCGCAUAUUCUGUGAGCAGGAAAGCAGGGGGACCGCAAGGCCUUGCGCUCUUUGAGCGGCCGAUGUCAGAUUAGCUAGUUGGUGAGGUAACGGCUUACCAAGGCGACGAUCUGUAGCGGGUCUGAGAGGAUGAUCCGCCACACUGGAACUGAGACACGGUCCAGACUCCUACGGGAGGCAGCAGUGGGAAUUUUGGACAAUGGGGGCAACCCUGAUCCAGCCAUGCCGCGUGAGUGAAGAAGGCCUCGG